CCGAGAUGAGUUCUCCCUGAGACUUAAAGUCUCCUGAAGGAACGUUGAAGACGACGACGUUGAUAGGCCGGGUGUGUAAGCGCAGCGAUGCGUUGAGCUAACCGGUACUAAUGAACCGUGAGGCUUAACCUUACAACGCCGAAGCUGUU
Molecule: ribosomal RNA, 149 nt
Filed under: Escherichia coli
Lineage: Bacteria; Pseudomonadati; Pseudomonadota; Gammaproteobacteria; Enterobacterales; Enterobacteriaceae
Description: partial 23S ribosomal RNA
Rfam family: Bacterial large subunit ribosomal RNA (bases 1-132)
Source: RNAcentral